Molecule: ribosomal RNA, 522 nt
Filed under: uncultured bacterium
Lineage: Bacteria
Description: bacterial SSU rRNA
Rfam family: Bacterial small subunit ribosomal RNA
Source: RNAcentral
CCAGAGAAUUUAGCAGAGAUGCUUUAGUGCCUUCGGGAACUCUGAGACAGGUGCUGCAUGGCUGUCGUCAGCUCGUGUUGUGAAAUGUUGGGUUAAGUCCCGCAACGAGCGCAACCCUUAUCCAUUGUUGCCAGCACGUAAUGGUGGGAACUCAAAGGAGACUGCCGGUGAUAAACCGGAGGAAGGUGGGGAUGACGUCAAGUCAUCAUGGCCCUUACGAGUAGGGCUACACACGUGCUACAAUGGCGCAUACAAAGAGAAGCGACCUCGCGAGAGCAAGCGGACCUCAUAAAGUGCGUCGUAGUCCGGAUUGGAGUCUGCAACUCGACUCCAUGAAGUCGGAAUCGCUAGUAAUCGUAAAUCAGAAUGUUACGGUGAAUACGUUCCCGGGCCUUGUACACACCGCCCGUCACACCAUGGGAGUGGGUUGCAAAAGAAGUAGAUAGCUUAACCUUCGGGAGGGCGUUUACCACUUUGUGAUUCAUGACUGGGGUGAAGUCGUAACAAGGUAAGCGUAGUGCU